This 649-nucleotide long non-coding RNA is filed under the name Elaeis guineensis (African oil palm). Its description in RNAcentral is "long non-coding RNA (EGUI_LNC064699)". Lineage: Eukaryota; Viridiplantae; Streptophyta; Magnoliopsida; Arecales; Arecaceae. The record is from RNAcentral.
ACUGCUUGUUAUGUUCUGAACUGGAUUCUAAAUUAAUCGGUCACAAAGACUCCAUAUGAGAUAUGGACUAGACUAAGCCGAUACUCUCUUACCUUAGGAUUUGGGAGUAUUUAUUUUAUGUCAAGCAUUUACAGAUCAAUUAGCUUGGAUCAUAGUCCUAUAUGUACUAUUUUGUAGGGUAAUCCCAAAAAAUCUAAGAGAUAUAACUUCUAUCUUACUAAAGAAUAAAAAUUAUUCGAUAUUCUUUUUAGAAAAGAAGUACCUUGGUGAAGAAACUGAUGUCUUUAAUAUAGAACUUAUGAAGUUCGACAGAUAGAAGAACCAACAUAAUCUAGUAAACCCAUAGAAUCGGAUUUGAUUAGAUCGAACUCGAAACCCAUUGUAGAAGUACCAUUAAGGAAAUUUGAUAGAGUACCGUAUCCGUCGGAUAGACACUUCGAUAUCUGAGUUCGAGACGUGAUCCUAUUGAACUCGAUGACGACAACAAGGAUCUGAUCACCUACAUGGAUGCCAUGCAGAGGUCCGACUCUGAUUAGUUGCUUGGAGCCAUAAAGUUCAAAAUGGAGUCUAUGAAGGUCAAUAGUGUAUAGACAUUCGUUGGUCCACUCGAAAGGAUAAAGCUCAAAGAGUGUAAGUAGAUUUUCAAUAG